GAUUAUGGCUCAGGAUGAACGCUAGCUACAGGCUUAACACAUGCAAGUCGAGGGGCAGCGGGAAGUUAGCUUGCUAACUUGCCGGCGACCGGCGCACGGGUGAGUAACGCGUAUCCAACCUUCCCCUUAGUAGGGCAUAGCCCGUAGAAAUGCGGAUUAAUACCCUAUGUUAUUCGUCGAGGACAUCUGAAGUGAAUCAAAGGUUUACCGCUAAGGGAUGGGGAUGCGUCUGAUUAGGCAGCAGGCGGGGUAACGGCCCACCUGGCCGACGAUCAGUAGGGGUUCUGAGAGGAAGGUCCCCCACACUGGCACUGAGACACGGGCCAGACUCCUACGGGAGGCAGCAGUGAGGAAUAUUGGUCAAUGGCCGAGAGGCUGAACCAGCCAAGUAGCGUGCAAGGAUGACGGCCCUACGGGUUGUAAACUGCUUUUGCGGGAGGAUAAGGUGCACUACGUGUAGUGCUUUGCAGGUAUCCCGUGAAUAAGGACCGGCUAAUUCCGUGCCAGCAGCCGC
This 514-nucleotide ribosomal RNA is filed under the name uncultured bacterium. Its description in RNAcentral is "bacterial SSU rRNA". It matches the Rfam family "Bacterial small subunit ribosomal RNA", at positions 15 to 518 of the family's 1533-position model. The record is from RNAcentral.